UCUAGAACUCAAGAUAUGAGCUGAAAACCGAACAGUGUUUGAGCUGCAGGACAUGUUCCGACUUCUCCGUUGUUGCUAAGAUUUGAACUUGAAAACGGCAGAAUUGAGUCUUGGACUCUUCAUGAAAGUUUUAGGUCCAUGUCUUAGCUUUCCAUC
This 156-nucleotide microRNA precursor is filed under the name Populus trichocarpa (black cottonwood). RNAcentral's name for it is "MIR2912 microRNA precursor family". It matches the Rfam family "MIR2912 microRNA precursor family". Lineage: Eukaryota; Viridiplantae; Streptophyta; Magnoliopsida; Malpighiales; Salicaceae. The record is from Rfam by way of RNAcentral.